RNAcentral lists this ribosomal RNA (415 nucleotides) under uncultured bacterium. RNAcentral's name for it is "bacterial SSU rRNA". It matches the Rfam family "Bacterial small subunit ribosomal RNA", at positions 107 to 518 of the family's 1533-position model. The record is from RNAcentral.
GGAGUAACGCGUAUCCAACUCCCCUUAGUAGGCAUAGCCCGGCGAAAGUCGGAUUAAUACCUAUGUUAUCCGAAGAGGACAUCUGAAUUGGAUUAAAGAUUUAUCGCUAAGGGAUGGGGGAUGCGUCUGAUUAGGUAGUCGGCGGGGUAAACGGGCCCACCGAGCCUGCGAUCAGUAGGGGUUCUGAGAGGAAGGUCCCCCCACAUUGGAACUGAGACACGGUCCAAACUCCUACGGGAGGCAGCAGUGAGGAAUAUUGGUCAAUGGGCGCGAGCCUGAACCAGCCAAGUAGCCGUGCAGGAUGACGGCCCUAUGGGUUGUAAACUUGCUUUUAUACGGGGAUAAAGUGAGGGACGUGUCCCUUUUUGUAGGUACCGUAUGAAUAAGGACCGGCUAAUUCCGUGCCAGCAGCUGC